CUCACAGAAGAAGUCCUGGCUAACUCCGUGCCAGCAGCCGCGGUAAUACGGAGAGGGCUAGCGUUAUUCGGAAUUAUUGGGCGUAAAGGGCGCGUAGGCUGACUAAUAAGUUAAAAGUGAAAUCCCGAGGCUUAACCUUGGAAUUGCUUUUAAAACUGUUAAUCUAGAGAUUGAAAGAGGAUAGAGGAAUUCCUAGUGUAGAGGUAAAAUUCGUAAAUAUUAGGAGGAACACCAGUGGCGAAGGCGUCUAUCUGGUUCAAAUCUGACGCUGAGGCGCGAAGGCGUGGGGAGUAAACAGGAUUAGAUACCCUGGUAGUCCACGCUGUAAACGAUGAAUGUUAAAUAUGGGAAAUUUAUUUUCUGUAUUACAGCUAACGCGUUAAACAUUCCGCCUGGGGACUACGGUCGCAAGAUUAAAACUCAAAGGAAUUGACGGGGACCCGCACAAGCGGUGGAGCAUGUGGUUUAAUUCGAUGCAACGCGAAAAACCUUACCACUCCUUGACAUGGAAAUCAUACCUAUUCGAAGGGAUAGGGUCGGUUCGGCCGGAUUUCACACAGGUGUUGCAUGGCUGUCGUCAGCUCGUGUCGUGAGAUGUUGGGUUAAGUCCCGCAACGAGCGCAACCCUCAUCCUUAGUUACCAUCAGAUAAUGCUGGGGACUUUAAGGAAACUGCUAGUGAUAAACUGGAGGAAGGUGGGGAUGAUGUCAAGUCAUCAUGGCCCUUAUGGAGUGGGCUACACACGUGCUACAAUGGUGGCUACAAUGGGCUGCAAAGUCGCGAGGCUAAGCUAAUCCCUUAAAAGCCAUCUCAGUUCGGAUUGCACUCUGCAACU
This 835-nucleotide ribosomal RNA is filed under the name Armadillidium vulgare (common pillbug). RNAcentral describes it as "bacterial SSU rRNA". It matches the Rfam family "Bacterial small subunit ribosomal RNA", at positions 478 to 1312 of the family's 1533-position model. The record is from RNAcentral. Lineage: Eukaryota; Metazoa; Arthropoda; Malacostraca; Isopoda; Armadillidiidae.